GGAAAAAAGUGCAGAAGGUGUAAUAAGAAAAGUCACCCAGUGGGAGUUUAUCUUUGGGAGCCUGAGCUACCAUGGCCUCAUCAUGGUGGAGAUUCUAAACACUGUCCCCAGUGCAGAAAUAGAGCUCAGAAAACUUAGAGGAAUGAAGGGUUAACAUGUUCUUUAGGCUGACUUUCUCAAAUAUCCAGUGUCUCGGCCAAGCUUUUAACUGGAGCAGUCUGAGAGGACAGGACAGCCAGGUACUUGAAAAGGACCCAAUGGCCAUAAACCUCUCUGAACAGGUGGCCUCAAUGCUUUGUGCUUUCAUCUAUGUAGUUAUCACCCUGCAGAGCAGUGUGUGUGUUCGUGUUUUUUUCCUUCCUGUCUUCCCCUCUGAACUGUGGGUUUACUCAUCCUUGACUCCUAGCACCUAGUGAAGACUUUGACACAUGGGCCCAGAGAGAUUCUUGUUGAAAGUAUGAAUGGCAGGGGGAGAAGGGGAGAUGCUUCUCUUUCUUUUCUGACAUUGUAUUAAGUGUCACCUUCUGGCUUAGUUUUGUCCAAAAUGAAUGUUUGCUGCCUGGGUUAUAUCAUAUGUCCAUGUCACAGCUGAGUGUUUUGCUAGAAGGAUUUGUUUUAGUGUCUGAGCUGGUUAAGUAAUAGAUAGCAGGUUAACUCCUUGCUUUAUUUAAAGUCAUUUUGCGUAGUUGAUUUGAUUCCUCAUUCAGCCUACAAAAAUUUAUGUAUCUUCUGUGUACUAGCUAGCCAUUUAGCAGCUCAGCGUGUAGCCUAGUGACCUAUGAGACAAUAAGCAUAUAUUCAUACAAAGAGAUUCUGAAGUAGUCUCCACCUUGAUGGAAUGGAUAUGCAUAUUGGGGUCUCUCAGAUAGCCCCCUAGAUGAAAUAAAAUGCUUUUAAUCUGAGAGGUGAUUGUUUUGUGGAUUUUGUCACCCAGAUAUAUUCAUGAAAAUUGCAAUGCAAGUCAACCAGUUUUCUCCUGGAAUCCACGUGGUGUGGGGUUGAAUGAAUACGUUUAGGCCAGUGAGUCUCCGAUUAAGGAUGUUCACUCUCUGCCUUAAGCUCCCAACUCAACUCCUUAGUCAAUUAUGGACUUUAAGCAAGUGGGCUUAGGGGGCGUAUACAAAUCACUGAAUCACAAAGAAUAUAUUUCCAGAGUUCCCAUUGUGGCGCAGCCAGGGAUCGAACCCGCAACCUCAUGGUUCCUAGUCGAAUUCGUUAACCACUGUGCCACAACGAGAACGCCCUGAAAAAAAAUAUUUUUAAUAAAGCCCGGGGAAGUAUUCCUGACUUCUCCUUUCCCCCAGCUUUUGCACUCAGUCUGGCACUAUGACCAGGUGAAAGCAAAGAAAAAAAUAAUUUCCAUUCCCGGGCCCCCAUGCCUCUUUCUCGUUUCUUCCAACAUUGGUAGCUAAGAGCCAGUCAGCGGACUUGUGUUCUCAUGAUCCCUCUGGAUGCUAGAGAGUGUUCUAAGCCCUGAUAGUGGGCCUGGGGCCUCUCCUGGCCUGGCCCCUGACCUUCCUCUAUCGCUGCAGGGUAGGAGUUGGAGCCAGGCUCCUGGGUCCGCCCCCACCUCGGUAAACGCAGACCCUCGUGACCCUGAAACUGUUGAGCAAACACGAAGUGAAAUAGCCCCAUGCUCUAUUAGAGGCUGGAGUUUAAAGGUCAGCGCUGUGCUUAUCGGCUGAGCCUGAUUCACUCCCUAAAUGACUCUGGGGGAGUUUCAGGCUGGCAGUAUGGACUGAGAAGAUGAGCCUUUCUGUGCAGACUGGGGAGCUGUUUGCUUUGCCUGGAGCUGUCUUUGCCAACAGGAACACUGCAGGUCAGCAGCAGGUGGGAGAUAAACAUAGGUCCCCUUUGAGGAGCGAUUCCUUCUGACUUUGACUUAGAGAAAGCUCAAGGUACAUGUGGUCCAUUGGUCGCUUGUGGCUUUCAGCUCUUUCCCGCGAAAAUCAGAAAAUCUCCACCAGAAACAAUUUCAUGAUGGAAACAGUGUCAACAGGCAGAUAAUGAGUAAUUGAAAGACAGAUGUGUCAAAGCUCCUAUCAUACAGAAACCAGUGGUGGAAUUUGGAGAUUUCAGGUCAUUUUUGCUCCUUAGCAAAAGCUGGAAAUGGGGGAGGGCAAAAUUUUCAGAAGUUAUCUUAAGUAUUUUUAUUUCCAUUUAAAGAAAACAAUUCUCCUAAUUUUUAAAGCAUUUUAUUGCAAAGGGAACAUACCAUCGUAGUGGGCCUGUAUAUAUGAAUGAUUUGGGAUUUAGGGUGAGACGGUAACGAGCUAAGGGAAAGAGUCACGAGGAUUACUCAGAGCUGCUGCUGGACGUGUCUGCAUGUCCGUGGCACUUUAAGAUUGCAACAUUUUGUUUGGUGACCUUCAUACCACCCGACUGCAUGCACCUUAAUCUCUCUCUCAAAAAAAGCUGAGCCUGCUAUAGAUUUGGUGGGUUGCUUUUUUUUUUUUUUUUUAAACUCAGUUUCUCAUUUACCUCCUGCUUUAUGACUCCUGGUUUAAUUUGUACAAAAGGAUGAAGUUCAUUAUUACAUAACUCAGAAACCCAUCUUGGAGGUUUUAGGAAAAAUAAGUGCCAGGGUUUUUAUGGAUGGAGCCUGAAAAAACCUCGUAGAUAAUUCAGGGGGGCACACUUUUUAAGAGAAGUAAAGAAUGCUUCCAAACAAUUGUAGAAUAGCUACACAAGUGCACAAAGGGGAGGAAAAUGCCAGUUUGAGGGUAAUAAAGUAUCCUGCAGAACUUUAUUUAAGUUGGAACUUAUAACUAAAAGUUAACAAGCAGAGUAAAUGACAGGACUUUGAAGCUUUCAUGAGGGAUGCCAAUUUGUCAAUGUGGCGCCUGUCUGUGUAGCUCAGGCUGGCUGUCAGAUUCUCUGCCCCUAUGUAGGAAUUGCUUUGUGAGUAUUCAGUCUUUAUUUUUCAAGAAUUAAUGAAGUGAACUUUCAGACUAUUGAGUAAAUAUUGCACGGUCCCUGAGCUACGGUUGUACAGUAGACCCAUGGAAAUUUGAUUGCUUAAAGAGUUAAAUGAGACUCAGUUGUCUAAGAAUAUUAAACAAUUAAGUUGUGAUACUUUGAUCAAAAGGGUAUAACUUCCUCCCUCCUUGUUUCCUUACUAGCUAACUAAUUCUUCUUCCUUCUUCUCUCUCUUCCCUCCUCCUUCCUUCAUCUCUUUGCUCAAUUAUUCUUAUCAUGUCCAUUUGAGAGUAGCUUAUUUCUGUCUCUAAAAUUAUUCGUUUUAAGGCAAAGCAAAGAACCUGAAAGCCAAGUUAGUGUCUUUUUUUAACCUCCUACUAUUCUAAACGUAAUCUUCUCUCCCUCCACCCCAUUAUUCGUGGUUACUAAAACUAGCUUUUAUUCAGACAGCCUCGCCAGUGUAUUGCCUCCUUUGUGUUAGAUAUUCUCAUAUAUAUAGUAUUUAGCUAAAUGAUAAGGCUGAUGGUCUUGAAACUGGCUACCUUAUUUUGAAAAAUCUUCACUUACCUCUCUAAACCCAAUGCAGAUAGUCGCAGACUUUGUAGACAAGACAUUAUGCAGAAAACCAUUAACUUGAUGUUCCGUUUUCAGGAGAGACAGUCACAAAUUCCACUGCAAAGUAGAGCUAUUGGACUAAACACUGGUCUAUUAAUAACCAGGGAGAACAGUUUAGCUACUUUCCCUGCUGAGCUAAAAUAUAGUGCUGCCGUCUUUUCUCCCGUGGUAUUCUCCAGUGUGGGUUACUUGGUCCUGGGAAUUUCCUGUCCAAAAAGUCAUUUUGGUCAAUCAGGCAUUGCACAGUCCCGGGACCGGUUAAUGUGGCAGUGGUGUGGCCUGCUGAGUUUUAAUGUGAGAGUGGCCUGCCGGGGUUUCAGAAAUGAAUCAUCCAUCUUUGAGCCCAUGAAAACAGUCAGGAGCAGUUUCAAAGUCAGGAAGAUUCAAGAUAACUGGUAUACCGUGUUCAGCAGGCUUCUACUGAAGCCUGUCUGCAGGUAGCUUGCAUUCAAGAGCAGGAAACCCUCAUUUCUAAACAACUUUUGGUUUCCCUUUGUCCUUCCUUUGCUUCUCAUUGACUGGCUUUGUCCACCUCGAAUCCGAGGGCUGCCUUCCCAUCACUGCCUCUCUCAGAUUCAGAAUUGGGCCUGUGCUUUCAGACUCAUGUCAUUUCUGCUCUCACUUCCCCCUGCCUUACCUUUGUCCUUGACCUUAUUUUGGCUGGUUGGUUUGCCAUUCUCCACAUUUGUCCCUCCCUGGCCUUUGUGUGGGCUCCUCUGUCAUUUAUUUUUAACCCGUGGCACACAGCCCUUCCCUGUCAUCCGCCAGCCUGCAUUCUCCCCCACUAGUGUCAGCUCAAGUCUUGUCUUCUCUGUAAGGACCUUCCUGUAUUUGAAUCUAGAAUCUCUACCCAGGACUUGCUAACUCUUGACCAUCUUCAUACAUGUGUGGUCAAACAACCUCAAUUUUCUGUGAACAUUCAAAGACUAAGAUAUAUAUUUCUUAUAUGUUUUAUGAUCUCAUGACAGGGGUGUGUCUUGGUUCAAGAAAUGAACUUCCAGGUUGUGGCUCUGGCAGGAUGGGAGGCAAACAAGUUUGUUUUAAUAAAGAUCCAUCUCUCAGGCUGCUUCUUUUUUUAAAAAAUUUUUAAUGAUUUUUUAUUGUUUCCGUUAUAGUUGAUUUACACUGUUCUGUUCAUUUCUACUGUAUAGCAAAAUGACCUAAAUAUAUAUAUGUGUGUAUACACACACACACACACACACAUAUAUAUAUAUAUUCUUUUUCUCACAUUAUUCUCCAUCGGGUUCCAUCACAAGUGACUGGAUAUAGUUCCCUGUGCUGUACAGCAGGAUCUCAUUACUUAUCCACUCCAAAUGCAGGAGUUUGCAUCUACUGACCCCAGGCUUAGGCUGCUUCUUUAUCUAAUGGAGCAAGCUAGGGGAAGGCCUGCUUAUCUUGGUGUUUUAGCUUUCCUAAUUGGUAACAAUUGUCUCUGGAAAAUUGUUGUAUGUGGUUAUCCAAGCUGAUCAUUAAUAUUAUUAACACUGUAAAUUUCAUUGUUUAAUCACUUCUGACAGUAUUUAUUGCCUUUCUCAGAGUUAAUCAGUAACAGUUUUUCUAAGGGUAGCUUUUUCCCCCAUCUUAACCAUUUUUAAGUAUACAGUUCAGUGGGGUGUUAAGGUCAUUUCCAUUGUGUAACCCUCACCACCAUCUCCAGAAUUCUUCAGCUUGCAAAACCAAAGCUCUUAUACCCAUUAAACAGUAACUCCCUGUUUCCCCUCCUGCCAACUCCUGGCUACCAUCAUUCUACUUCCCAUCUCUAUGAAAUUAACUACUCCAAGUACCUCAUAUAAGUGGAAUAUGGUAUUUGCGUUUUGUGACAGGCCUAUCUCACUUGGCAUAAUAUCCUCAAGGUUCAUCCAUGUUGUGGCAUAUGUCAGAAUUUUCUGGAGUUCCCUUGGUGGCUUAGCAGGUUAAGAACCUGACACAGGGUCUAUGAGGAUGCAGGUUCAAUCCCUGGCCCAGGAACUUCUACAUGCUGCAGACAUGGCAAAAAAAAAACAAAAAACAAUAAACAAACAAACAAAAAA
Molecule: long non-coding RNA, 5564 nt
Filed under: Sus scrofa (pig)
Lineage: Eukaryota; Metazoa; Chordata; Mammalia; Artiodactyla; Suidae
Description: lncRNA (ENSSSCG00015040205.1)
Source: RNAcentral